Long non-coding RNA from Pecten maximus, 321 nucleotides. RefSeq lists it as uncharacterized. The record is from RefSeq and is a predicted model, not a curated record. The transcript has 3 exons. Lineage: Eukaryota; Metazoa; Mollusca; Bivalvia; Pectinida; Pectinidae.
GUUCAGGAUUGUGGAUGUAGAGAUGAGGAUGGGAAACGUUAUCGGGACGGUACUGAAUUCGUCUCGAGAGACUGUUCGGUGGUUAAAUAUUGUACAGUGAUAGGUAAUCAGAUGAAGAUUGUAGUCAAGGAAAGGAGGGGCCCGUGUGGCACUAAUGCCGAGUGUAAAGCUAAUGACGGAAAAUACGCGUGUGUAUGUAAAGCACGGCACACAGGAAAUCCCAGGAAGGGUUGUACGGAAACUUGUGGGAAAUAUCCAAAGUGUCAUCCCAAUGCCGUGUGUGUGAACAAUGAUCACUGUGAGUGUAAGGCUCCUUACCAG